GCCGGGGUGGCGGAACUGGCAUUCGCGGCGGCCUCAAAAGCCGCUGGGCCGCAAGGUCCGUGCGGGUUCGACUCCCGCCCCCGGCACCA
Molecule: transfer RNA, 89 nt
Filed under: Pseudomonadota bacterium
Lineage: Bacteria; Pseudomonadati; Pseudomonadota
Also listed under: 2 other names
Description: tRNA-Leu
Rfam family: tRNA
About the family: Transfer RNA (tRNA) molecules are approximately 80 nucleotides in length. Their secondary structure includes four short double-helical elements and three loops (D, anti-codon, and T loops).
Source: RNAcentral